Molecule: ribosomal RNA, 385 nt
Filed under: uncultured bacterium
Lineage: Bacteria
Description: bacterial SSU rRNA
Rfam family: Bacterial small subunit ribosomal RNA
Source: RNAcentral
GAUGAACGCUGGCGGCGUGCCUAACACAUGCAAGUCGAGCGAUUUACUUCGGUAAAGAGCGGCGGACGGGUGAGUAACGCGUGAGGAACCUGCCUUUCAGUGGGGGACAACAGUUGGAAACGACUGCUAAUACCGCAUAAUGUGUUUUGGGGGCAUCCCUGGAACACCAAAGAUUUAUUGCUGAAAGAUGGCCUCGCGUCUGAUUAGAUAGUUGGUGGGGUAACGGCCUACCAAGUCGACGAUCAGUAGCCGGACUGAGAGGUUGAACGGCCACAUUGGGACUGAGAUACGGCCCAGACUCCUACGGGAGGCAGCAGUGGGGAAUAUUGGGCAAUGGGGGAAACCCUGACCCAGCAACGCCGCGUGAAGGAAGAAGGCUUUCGGG